AGUGAACGCUGGCGGUAGGCCUAACACAUGCAAGUCGAACGGCAGCACAGUAAGAGCUUGCUCUUACGGGUGGCGAGUGGCGGACGGGUGAGGAAUACAUCGGAAUCUACUUUUUCGUGGGGGAUAACGUAGGGAAACUUACGCUAAUACCGCAUACGACCUACGGGUGAAAGCAGGGGAUCUUCGGACCUUGCGCGAUUGAAUGAGCCGAUGUCGGGUUAGCUAGUUGGCGGGGUAAAGGCCCACCAGGGCGACGAUCCGUAGCUGGUCUGAGAGGAGGGUCAGCCACACUGGAGCUGAGACACGGUACAGGCACCGACGGGAGGCAGCAGUGGGGAAUAUUGGAAAAUGGGCGCAAGCCUGAUCCAGCCAUGCAGCGUGGGUGAAGAAGGCCUUCGGGUUGUAAAGCCCUUUUGUUGGGAAAGAAAAGCAGCAGGUUAAUACCCCGCUGUUCUGACGGAACCCAAAGAAUAAGCACCGGCUAACAUCGU
Molecule: ribosomal RNA, 491 nt
Filed under: uncultured bacterium
Lineage: Bacteria
Description: partial 16S ribosomal RNA
Rfam family: Bacterial small subunit ribosomal RNA
Source: RNAcentral